Long non-coding RNA from Passer montanus (Eurasian tree sparrow), 670 nucleotides. RefSeq lists it as uncharacterized. NCBI's taxonomy places the organism in Eukaryota, Metazoa, Chordata, Aves, Passeriformes, Passeridae. The transcript has 4 exons. The record is from RefSeq and is a predicted model, not a curated record.
UUUGUAUCUCUCAGUCCUGGCUUUCUCACUUGCUUGUGCUGGCUGGAGUGCUAGGAGGGCGAGAUGUGGAUUUUAUUUGCUGCCAAGGCUCUUAUGUUAUUAUUCUGCCUCUCCCUGGCUGCUAGUAGCCAUAUGGGUGACUCUUCUGGGAAUGUGCAGGCACUGUGUUUUGACUUACAGCCCUGUGUGAAUGGUUUUCUUGACCUGCGUGAUAAAUCCUAACAUGAGGAGAACAUUUGAAAAAAAAGUCUUGACUUGCACAUACCUUUGUCUCAAAAAGUGAAGGGAGCUUUGGAGGAGUUCUAGUGAGAAUUUUUUGAAGUCAGUAAUUGUAUGGGCCAUCUGCUGUGAGGGGGAGAGCUGAAAAAUGGACAAAAAUGUGCUUCUAAGAAAAGGGUGCUUAUCACUGCAACACUAACGAAUCUGAAUUCUCCUCAACUUGCCUCAGAGUGUUCACAUGUGUGGUGCUGAUCUGAACUAAGAUCUAGUCCCUGGAAGCCUUUCAUAAGUCUCUACCAUGAUACAAUUUUUUAUUUUUUUUUUACUGGAGUGUGGCUACGAACUGGAUUUAUUAAUAUAUGAGAAGAUUCUUCCCACCUUCAGUCUGAUGUUGCCAUCCUUUGUGAAGAGGAGAUCAUUAUAUUCUAUUCAUCUCAGCAGUCUGCAACAG